This 497-nucleotide ribosomal RNA is filed under the name uncultured bacterium. Its description in RNAcentral is "partial 16S ribosomal RNA". It matches the Rfam family "Bacterial small subunit ribosomal RNA", at positions 28 to 507 of the family's 1533-position model. The record is from RNAcentral.
GAUGAACGCUGGCGGCGUGCCUAAUACAUGCAAGUCGAGCAAACAGAUGAGGAGCUUGCUCCUCUGACGUUAGCGGCGGACGGGUGAGUAACACGUGGAUAACCUACCUAUAAGACUGGGAUAACUUCGGGAAACCGGAGCUAAUACCGGAUAAUAUAUUGAACCGCAUGGUUCAAUAGUGAAAGACGGUUUUGCUGUCACUUAUAGAUGGAUCCGCGCCGCAUUAGCUAGUUGGUAAGGUAACGGCUUACCAAGGCAACGAUGCGUAGCCGACCUGAGAGGGUGAUCGGCCACACUGGAACUGAGACACGGUCCAGACUCCUACGGGAGGCAGCAGUAGGGAAUCUUCCGCAAUGGGCGAAAGCCUGACGGAGCAACGCCGCGUGAGUGAUGAAGGUCUUCGGAUCGUAAAACUCUGUUAUUAGGGAAGAACAAAUGUGUAAGUAACUAUGCACGUCUUGACGGUACCUAAUCAGAAAGCCACGGCUAACUACGUG